AUGCUUGUUUCAGAAGGUGCAAGAAGCCAUCCGUGAAAUGCAUGAGCACCUUUUCAGCAUCGUAGCCAGUGAGGGGGUAGACUCUAGCAUUGAGAACUUCCAGUGACAGUCCCACCGGGAGAGACCGCCUGAUGCAAGUGAACUCCCCUGCAACUCUGCCCAGAAAGGUCCUGCAUAGCACCAGAGAUGGAUGUGACCUGCUAGGAACUGAGCAGCCUAUAUGCCCCCACCUCUAUCCUGUUUUGGUGAAGAACUUUCCAUAGAAUAUCUUUGAUGUCUUCCGAUAUAAAUACAGCAAACAUGGGCUCCUUUCCUUUUUAGAAUUUGGACCAUUCUGGUCAGCUUCUGGUCUCUGCUCCCUCUUUGAAAAUUACUUUCUGUAUUCUGUUGUCAUUUCAUCGUUCUACUUUUCUUAGCUUUUAUUUUUCAGCCAGCCCAUCCCAUGGAAGGGAAACCCAAUCCUUCGCCCUUGAGGGACGUGGGUGAUAAGAAGGUUUUUUUUUCUUCUUUGAAGAACAGCUUUGUUGGUAUAGCAAUCUUUUUUGUUGUUAUUCUUUCUGAAAUGCCUUUUUAAAAAAAUUUUUUAUUUGUUUUAAUUAGUUAUGCAGGACGCUAGAAUGCAUUUAUGUACUUUGAUAUAUAAUACAUAGAUGAAGUAUAAUUUCUCAUUUUUCUGAUUGAACAUGUUGUAGAAUCACAUUAGUCAUGCAGUCAUAUAUAUAUAUAUAUACGUAAAGUAACAAUGUCUGUCUUAUUCUACUAUCCUUCCUAUCCUCAUAUUCCCUCCCCUUCCCUCCCUUCACUCCCUCUACCUAAUCUAAGACAACUCUAUUCUUCACUAGUGUCCCCCCUUAUUGUGAAUUAGCAUCUGUAUGUUAGAGAAAACUUUUGGUCUUUUUGGGGAGGGGGUAUUUACUUAUUUUGCUUAGCAUGAUAUUCUCUAACUCCAUCCAUUUACCAGCAAAUGCCAUAAUUUUUUUCUUUAAAGCUGAGUAACAUUCCAUUUAAUAUAUAUAACACAUUUUCUUUAUCCAUUCGUCUAUCAAGGGACACCUAGGUUGGUUCCAUAUUGUAGCUAUUGUGAAUUGAGCUACUAUAAAUAUUGAUGUGGCUAUAUCACUGUAAUAUGCUGAUUUUAAGUCCUUUAGAUAUAAACCAAGGAGUGGGAUAGGUGGGUCAAAUGGUGGUUCCAUUCCAAGUUUUCUGAGGAAUCUUCAUACUGCUUUCCAGGAUGAUUGCAUCAAUUUUCAGUCCCACCAUGUAUGAGUGUACUUUUUUCCCCACAUUCUCGCCAACGUUUAUUGUUGCUUGUAUUCUUGAUAAUUGAUGUUGUGACUGGAGUGAGAUGAAAUCUCACAAAAUGAAUAGUCCACCAUGCGGCCAGCGCAAUGGUUUCAUUAAUGAGGUUCUUGGCAUAAAAGUUAGCUAGAAGAGAUCGAAAUAAAACACACAGAUUUAGUUACCUUAUUUCUAUUGCCAGGUCCGAGAUGGCUCCCCUCUCUGGUUCCCUCCUCUAACCGCCCAGCAGGGCAACAAGGAUUACUCAGGGCUAGCAGGAGAGAGAGAGCGAGCACGCCAGGGAGUAGCCUUUUAUUGGGGAACAAGAAAUUCAGGGGAUAAUUCCAUCCAAUGAAGGUUGAGGGGGGGCCGCACUCCAAGGUCAGGGUCAGUGAUUGGGCCCCCGGGGUCAGUGGUCAGUCACACCCCCACACGGACGGGUUCUCUCAUCAGGAGAGGGCCGGGAAAAUUCCGACACAGCCAGAAGCCUCAGACCCAAACCAGGAGUCACCCAGUCACGCGUGAGAAUGGCUCCCCACAGAAUAGUUUUGAUUUGCAUUCACCUAAUCGCUAGAGAUGUUGAAUAUUUUUUCUCAUGUUUAUUGAUCAAUUGUAUUUCUUCUGGGAAGUGUCUGUUUAGUUCCCUUGCCCAUUUAUUGAUUUGGUUGUUUGUAUUUUUGGCAUUGAGUUAUUUGAGUUUUUUAUACAUCCUGGAGAUUAAUGCUCUAUUUGAGGUGCAUAUGACAAAGAUUUCUCCCCUUCUGUAGGCUCUUUCUUCACAUUAUUGAUUAUUCCCUUUGGUGAGAAGAGGCUUUUUAGUUUUAAUCCAUCCCAUUUAUUGAUUUUUGAUUUUACUUCUUACACUUUAGAGGUCUUAUUUAGUCAGAUCCUAGGCUGACAUGGUGAAGACUUGGGCCUACUUUUUCUUCUAUUAGGCACAGGGUCUCUGUUCUAGUGCCUAAGUCUUUGAUCCUCUUUGAGUUGAUUUUUGUGCAGGGUGAGAGAUAGAGGGUUAACUUCAUUUUGCUACAUGUGGAUUUCCAGUUUUGCCAGCACCAUUUGUUGAACAGGCUAUCUUUUCUCCAGUGAAUUUUUUGGCACCUUUGUCAAGUAUGAGAUAACUGUAUUUGUGAGGUUUGUCUCUGUGUCUUCUGUUCUGUACCAUUGGUCUGCAUGACUGUUUUGGUGCCAAAACGAUGCCAUUUUUGUUACUAUAGCUCUGUAGUGUAAUUUAAGGUGUGGUAUUGUGAUGCCUCCUGCUUCACUUUUCUUGCUAAGGAUUACUUUGGCUUUAUCCAGGUCUGUAAUUUUUCCAAAUGAAUUUCAUGAUUGCUUUUCUGUUUCUAUGAAGAAUGUCAUUGGGAUUUUAAUAAGAAUUGCAUUAAUCUGUACAAUGCUUUUGGUAGUAUGGCCAUUUUGGAAGUAUUAAUUCUGCCUAUCCAAGAGCAUGGAAGAUCUUUCCAUCUUCUAAGGUCUUCUUUGAUUUCUUUCUUUAGUGUUCUGUAGUUUUCAUUGUAG
Molecule: long non-coding RNA, 2796 nt
Filed under: Marmota monax (woodchuck)
Lineage: Eukaryota; Metazoa; Chordata; Mammalia; Rodentia; Sciuridae
Source: RNAcentral